CACACCCAGAGGGGCACAACUCACCACUGGCAGAGGCCAGGAUCAUGGCCUGCAGCAUCUCUGUGUCAAACUGGUUGUUGGGCCACGUGCCGGUCUCAUCGCCAUUCUGGGAGCUGCCGAAAGAGUGGGGUGGUGAUAAAUGCAGGGCUCAGAGGGGCUGAGAGACUCCCGAAGCUGCAUAGCUGCUCACCGGCAGAACUGGAACCUGAAGGGGCCUCCUGUGAUCCUGAAGCCCAUAUGCUCUUAUACCUGGCACUGCCCUGGGCUUCCCCACGGAGCCCCUGCAGCGGGGAGAGGGAGCUCCUCCAGGAUUUAGGAGACGGUGAAAAAUAAAAGUGCAGGCGAUGGACUACCUCUAAUUGACCAUUUUCCAAGCAUCUCCUAUGUGUGAGCGCCUGUGGCAGGCCCUAAGACGCAAUGUGACCCAGCACUGACUUGAACUUGGACUGGGUUUACUGGAGAACUCGACAGCAGCCCUGCUCUGAAGCUGGUGUGCCAGUAGCCAAGAUGGUAGGGAGGAAGUGGAGCAGAGAACUGGUGGAGGGCCGGAACCAGAGUUAGGCUGAACAAGAGAAAUCUCCCCUCUUCGUCCUCUCACUCCAAUUGACUCACCAGAAUGGCAGCAAAGAAAGAAUUCCCCGUCAGUCUGCUGAUCCUGAGAGGCCUCACCACAGGGCCUUUGCAUAUGCUCUUCCCUCCUUCCUUCAGCUGGUUAUUUUAUACUUAGCCUUCAGAUCUCAGCAACACCUCUUUUCCUCUUAGAUUUCCCUCUGCUCCCAGACCUGGUCAAACCCCUAUUUUAUGCUCUCACCACCAGGUACUGCUCUUCAUAGCACUUGGGAUAACUGCAAUCUUACACUUAUUUUGUAUUUUGGGUUAAUAUUUGUCUCACUCAACAUAUGGUAAACUCCUCAAGGACCGGGAACAGGCCUAUUUUAUUACCUCCUACACCUAGAAUACGACCUGGCCUCCAGGAGGUGCUUACUAACUAUGGAAUGAAUGAAGGAGAAAAGCUGCAGUUGCUGGACUGAGCCCUUAAUGUUCAUUUCAUCUGGGCCAUUUCGGAAUUCCGACAGUAAUGUGUGUCCCAUCCCCCUCAAGUUAACUAAGGAAGAGAACCUUCUCUUACAUCUCCCCAAGAGCUCCUAUGUGUAUUUCAGGCCACCAAGUCUCUCAUUUGAUGAAAAGGGACUUGAGGCAGGGGUAAGGUGCUCAACCCAGAGGGCACAUCACAAGCAGUCUAUGGGCCUUCCAGUGGCAGCAGUGAAUUCUGCUCCAGGACCAGUACACGGUGUGGGGUGGAGGUGGGGGGUACAGGGUCCACAAGCUGCCCAGUGCUUCUCACCACCUCAGCUCACUUCCUCCUGGAGGCUUUCUCUACACUCACAUGAACUUGCUAAGAUUUGCAACUAGACAUUUUUAGUGCGAUUUGUUGUCAAUUUUCUGUCUCACCUGCUGGCCUGGAAGUCUUUGAGUUCAAAGAUGAUGUCUGCUUGUUCAAUCUUGUAGGACAGUGUUUAGAACAGGGCCUGGCUCAUAGUAGAGGCCCAAUAAAUAAGUGAUGAAUGAAUGAACACGUGAGUGAACACAUGAAUGACCCAACAAAUAAGCGACAGAAAGGCUGGCAAGGCCACUAGGGCAAAAGAAGACAGAUGGGGUCAAGGGAGGGGCAAGGGCAGUCCAAGCCAUUUGGCUUGCUGCCUCCUAGGGCCCUUCUAGGAAAUGUCCCGGGUUCUGGAUACAUGUGCAGGACUGCAGGAG
Molecule: long non-coding RNA, 1761 nt
Organism: Mirounga angustirostris (Northern elephant seal)
Lineage: Eukaryota; Metazoa; Chordata; Mammalia; Carnivora; Phocidae
Exons: 3
Source: RefSeq, a predicted model, not a curated record